This 594-nucleotide small RNA is filed under the name Pan troglodytes (chimpanzee). RNAcentral's name for it is "processed transcript". The record is from RNAcentral. Lineage: Eukaryota; Metazoa; Chordata; Mammalia; Primates; Hominidae.
GCGACUGCAGAGGAACAGCCAGUUGAACCUGAUGGCCCCCUUCCUGGCUCAGACAAUAACCAAGAAAAGAAAGUAAGAUUAUCUCCAGCCAAAAUGUCAACCAAGAAUUCUACAGAUCUAGUUGAAUAUGUUGACAAUGCCAUACCUGGAGCUCCCCCAGGACAGGUGUACCACAGAGGGACAACUCCAGGCACUUGGAAAUAGAAUAACACACUGUUAACACAUGCACAUUGUCCAAAAUACCCAAGGAUGCCAGUGAUGAAGGUGGCAUUGCAGAGGCAAUGCAUAUUAAUUUGAGUUGUUUUCUAUUCCAUAUGUCAAAGCAGGAUUUGGUCUAAUGCUGUCAUUCAUGUUUUCACGGCACUGGGGAUUUAGUCUCAGUCCUUCUACUACUUUGCUGUGUAACACCAGUCGGUUCCAUAAUGUCUCUGGGCUUUAGUUUUUUCAUUUGAAAAACAAAGAGGUUGGACUAGAAACUACUGCAGCUUUAAAAUAAUUCUGAUUUUAAUAAUCAUGACCACAGAAGAAAAAAAUAGCCAAAUGAAUGAAAUGAGUUCAUGUGAAGAGAAAAAUCUAAAUACACCUUGAACUUCG